UACAGUGGGUGCAACCGUUGCUCGGAAUUAUUGGGCGUAAAGCGCGCGUAGGCGGCUACUUAAGUCGGAUGUGAAAGCCCCUGGCUCAACUGGGGAAGUGCACCCGAAACUGAGUGGCUUGAGUACUAAAGAGGGUCGCGGAAUUCCCGGUGUAGAGGUGAAAUUCGUAGAUAUCGGGAGGAACACCGGUGGCGAAGGCGGCGACCUGGGUAGAUACUGACGCUGAGGUGCGAAAGCGUGGGGAGCAAACAGG
Molecule: ribosomal RNA, 253 nt
Filed under: uncultured bacterium
Lineage: Bacteria
Description: partial 16S ribosomal RNA
Rfam family: Bacterial small subunit ribosomal RNA
Source: RNAcentral